Molecule: ribosomal RNA, 486 nt
Filed under: uncultured bacterium
Lineage: Bacteria
Description: partial 16S ribosomal RNA
Rfam family: Bacterial small subunit ribosomal RNA
Source: RNAcentral
AUUGAACGCUGGCGGCAUGCCUUACACAUGCAAGUCGAACGGCAGCACGGGUGCUUGCACCUGGUGGCGAGUGGCGAACGGGUGAGUAAUACAUCGGAACAUGUCCUGAAGUGAGGGAUAGCCCGGCGAAAGCCGGAUUAAUACCGCAUACGAUCUACGGAUGAAAGCGGGGGACCUUCGGGCCUCGCGCUAUAGGGUUGGCCGAUGGCUGAUUAGCUAGUUGGUGGGGUAAGGGCCUACCAAGGCGACGAUCAGUAGCUGGUCUGAGAGGACGACCAGCCACACUGGGACUGAGACACGGCCCAGACUCCUACGGGAGGCAGCAGUGGGGAAUUUUGGACAAUGGGCGAAAGCCUGAUCCAGCAAUGCCGCGUGUGUGAAGAAGGCCUUCGGGUUGUAAAGCACUUUUGUCCGGAAAGAAAUCCUUGGCCCUAAUACGGUCGGGGGAUGACGGUACCGGAAGAAUAAGCACCGGCUAACUACGUG